Molecule: transfer RNA, 86 nt
Filed under: Thiohalobacter thiocyanaticus
Lineage: Bacteria; Pseudomonadati; Pseudomonadota; Gammaproteobacteria; Thiohalobacterales; Thiohalobacteraceae
Description: tRNA-Ser
Rfam family: tRNA (bases 1-63)
About the family: Transfer RNA (tRNA) molecules are approximately 80 nucleotides in length. Their secondary structure includes four short double-helical elements and three loops (D, anti-codon, and T loops). Further hydrogen bonds mediate the characteristic L-shaped molecular structure. tRNAs have two regions of fundamental functional importance: the anti-codon, which is responsible for specific mRNA codon recognition, and the 3' end, to which the tRNAs corresponding amino acid is attached (by aminoacyl-tRNA synthetases). tRNAs cope with the degeneracy of the genetic code in two manners: having more than one tRNA (with a specific anti-codon) for a particular amino acid; and 'wobble' base-pairing, i.e. permitting non-standard base-pairing at the 3rd anti-codon position.
Source: RNAcentral
GGAGGGGUGGCUGAGCGGUUGAAAGCACCGGUCUUGAAAACCGGCGAGGUUUAACGACCUCCGUGGGUUCGAGCCGAGUGCCGUCA